UGGGCAUGCUGUCUUUUCUCUGAAGAAAGGCUGCUCGUUGGACAGAUGUUCUUGAAACGAUUAAGCAGAAUAAAGAGAAGCCAGUGCCUUGUAUGCACGACACACAGAAGAGUGAGAUCCAAGAGGAAGAGUGUGGGGGCGAGAGGGCCCCUCCAGAGAGAGAAAGAGGGGGUACCUCCAGACUGACAGUUUGGUUCCUGGCCUUGACCCCUGCUCUCCUUAGCUACACUUCUGAAAGACAGAGCCCUUGACCUUGUCCCAGCCUUGCCUUCUGAGUCUUCCAAGCAAAAACAGAUACAUUCCUUUGAUUGAGGCUUGUUUUCCCAUCUUGAAAAUGAGGUAGAACCGGUCACCAGCUAACUGCAAGGCUACCAGGAGGACAGUCAGUGGAAGUCAGCGAGUGCUGUCAGUGUCCCCCUGCACUGUUUGUUCUGUUCCCAAGGUGCUCCUCUACCACCCCUCCUCCUCCCAGCAAACUUUCCUGCUCACUUCACUGUCCAGCCUGAGCAUCCUGUCCUUUGUGAAGCUCCAAGCUACAAGGACAGAAUGAUGGCCUCUCACUUCUCCAUGUUUCCAGAAACCUGGUUCACAGCCUGUGGUCUUUAAUUUGCAACCUAAGUCUAAAUGGGUCACCCUUUCUUUCAAAGGUAAAUAAAAUAGGAACUUCCCUGGGGGUCCAGUGAUUGGGAUUCUGCU
Odocoileus virginianus texanus is the source of this 696-nucleotide long non-coding RNA. RefSeq lists it as uncharacterized. The record is from RefSeq and is a predicted model, not a curated record. Lineage: Eukaryota; Metazoa; Chordata; Mammalia; Artiodactyla; Cervidae.